UCAGGACGAACGCUGGCGGCGUGCCUAAUACAUGCAAGUCGAGCGAAUCAAUAGGAGCUUGCUCCUGUUGGUUAGCGGCGGACGGGUGAGUAACACGUGGGCAACCUGCCUGUAAGACUGGGAUAACUUCGGGAAACCGGAGCUAAUACCGGAUAAUCCUUUUCCUCUCAUGAGGAAAAGCUGAAAGUCGGUUUCGGCUGACACUUACAGAUGGGCCCGCGGCGCAUUAGCUAGUUGGUGAGGUAACGGCUCACCAAGGCGACGAUGCGUAGCCGACCUGAGAGGGUGAUCGGCCACACUGGGACUGAGACACGGCCCAGACUCCUACGGGAGGCAGCAGUAGGGAAUCUUCCGCAAUGGACGAAAGUCUGACGGAGCAACGCCGCGUGAGCGAUGAAGGCCUUCGGGUCGUAAAGCUCUGUUGUUAGGGAAGAACAAGUAUCGGAGUAACUGCCGGUACCUUGACGGUACCUAACCAGAAAGCCACGGCUAACUACGUGCCAGCAGCCGCGGUAAUACGUAGGUGGCAAGCGUUGUCCGGAAUUAUUGGGCGUAAAGCGCGCGCAGGCGGUCCUUUAAGUCUGAUGUGAAAGCCCACGGCUCAACCGUGGAGGGUCAUUGGAAACUGGGGGACUUGAGUGCAGAAGAGGAAAGCGGAAUUCCACGUGUAGCGGUGAAAUGCGUAGAGAUGUGGAGGAACACCAGUGGCGAAGGCGGCUUUCUGGUCUGUAACUAC
This 736-nucleotide ribosomal RNA is filed under the name Bacillus sp. P3736. Its description in RNAcentral is "bacterial SSU rRNA". It matches the Rfam family "Bacterial small subunit ribosomal RNA", at positions 24 to 743 of the family's 1533-position model. Lineage: Bacteria; Bacillati; Bacillota; Bacilli; Caryophanales; Bacillaceae. The record is from RNAcentral.